AGAGGUCUUCCAUGAUGUAUUC
RNAcentral lists this microRNA (22 nucleotides) under Echinops telfairi (small Madagascar hedgehog). The record is from RNAcentral. Lineage: Eukaryota; Metazoa; Chordata; Mammalia; Afrosoricida; Tenrecidae.